Molecule: ribosomal RNA, 301 nt
Filed under: uncultured bacterium
Lineage: Bacteria
Description: partial 16S ribosomal RNA
Rfam family: Bacterial small subunit ribosomal RNA
Source: RNAcentral
CAGUCGCCGCGGUAAUACGUAGGUGGCAAGCGUUGUCCGGAUUUAUUGGGCGUAAAGCGAGCGCAGGCGGUUUCUUAAGUCUGAUGUGAAAGCCCCCGGCUCAACCGGGGAGGGUCAUUGGAAACUGGGAGACUUGAGUGCAGGAGAGGAGGGUGGAAUUCCAUGUGUAGCGGUGAAAUGCGUAGAUAUAUGGAGGAACACCAGUGGCGAAGGCGGCUCUCUGGUCUGUAACUGACGCUGAGGCUCGAAAGCGUGGGGAGCGAACAGGAUUAGAUACCCCCGUAGUCCCUGUCUCUUAUAC